ACUACAGGGUGCAGCAGUGGGGAAUAUUGCACAAUGGGGGAAACCCUGAUGCAGCGACGCCGCGUGAGUGAAGAAGUAUUUCGGUACGUAAAGCUCUAUCAGCAGGGAAGAAAAUGACGGUACCUGACUAAGAAGCCCCGGCUAACUACGUGCCAGCAGCCGCGGUAAUACGUAGGGGGCAAGCGUUAUCCGGAUUUACUGGGUGUAAAGGGAGCGUAGACGGCAGCGCAAGUCUGGAGUGAAAUCCCAUGGCUUAACCAUGGAACUGCUUUGGAAACUGUGCAGCUAGAGUGCAGGAGAGGUAAGCGGAAUUCCUAGUGUAGCGGUGAAAUGCGUAGAUAUUAGGAGGAACACCAGUGGCGAAGGCGGCUUACUGGACUGUAACUGACGUUGAGGCUCGAAAGCGUGGGGAGCAAACAGGAUUAGAUACCCUUGUAGUC
This 440-nucleotide ribosomal RNA is filed under the name uncultured bacterium. RNAcentral's name for it is "partial 16S ribosomal RNA". It matches the Rfam family "Bacterial small subunit ribosomal RNA", at positions 338 to 795 of the family's 1533-position model. The record is from RNAcentral.